Molecule: long non-coding RNA, 1016 nt
Organism: Amaranthus tricolor (Joseph's coat)
Lineage: Eukaryota; Viridiplantae; Streptophyta; Magnoliopsida; Caryophyllales; Amaranthaceae
Exons: 3
Source: RefSeq, a predicted model, not a curated record
CCGUCACUCCCUUCCCCUUCUCCUCCUUCUUUCUCUUCUUCUUCCUUCCUCCCUCACUCCCGCACCCUUUCCCUUUCCCACACCAGCAGUGGCGGCACACCACCACCAGCCACAUUUCCUUGCCGUAGCUGCCAGCAGCCGCCAAUAGGUGGCGUUUGCCUCCUCACAGAAGCAGCCACGGCUGCGUUCUUCCCCACCAACAGCAGCUGAGCUGCACAAUCAAUCGUGUAGUUUUUCUUUUCUUGUGCCGCCAGCAACUGGCUGCUGGGCAGCCGGUUUUGGCCCUGCGCCACCGCCUCCGCGACCUCCUCUCAUUUCUUCAUCCUCUUGCUAGUUUUAUUUUGUGCCCAUUUCGUAAGAGGAAAGUAGAGCCUUAGUUGGGCGAUUUUGUGACUUUUGAUCGUGCAGUAACGCUUACAGCAGGGGGAUCAUAGACAAGCGUAGCAGGUACUGGAGCUUCUUUUGCAUUGCAUUGCAUUUGGGGAGAGUGAGGAGGGCGAAGCAUACCCUGUGUCAUACCGCUAUCUUUCAAUUUUGUAGCUCUUGUUAUCUUUUGUAAACUUUGGUGGUAUAUGUUUUGUUACGAGGCCUUGUUUCCUCCCUCGUAUAUUUGUAUUUCCGCUGCGUGGUUUAUAAUUCUGUAUGGUUUUUAGGAGUUAAGUCUUUUUAAAACGCAAACGUCGACAAUGGAACCACGAUCCAUGCUUGGCAUGUUGAUUUGAGAAGCCGGCGACGAAUUAUUCCGCCGUGACAUAGCUUUGAUAGGCCGUUGGUGCCUUUACUUUAUUAGUUUCUGAAUUAGCUUUUGUUUUUCUACAAAGACGCACAGUUUUAAGGUAGAUGCUGUCAAAAUUUCCACUCCUUUUUAAAAUUAAUAAUUAAAGUUUAUCUAAAUUCUUUUUCCUUUUCUUUUAUGUAACACUCGAAUUUCCUCCCGUCCUUUACGGUUUUGGUUUCGUUAAGGGGUCGGAAAUUCUGGGGUGUUACAUUAUUAUUAUAAUAAUAAUAAUAACAAU